GGGGUUGUGGCUCAGUGGUAGAGUGCUUGCCUAGCAUGUGUGAGGCACUGGGUUCAAUUCUCAGCACCCCA
RNAcentral lists this transfer RNA (71 nucleotides) under Marmota marmota marmota (Alpine marmot). It matches the Rfam family "tRNA". From Rfam's summary of the family: Transfer RNA (tRNA) molecules are approximately 80 nucleotides in length. Their secondary structure includes four short double-helical elements and three loops (D, anti-codon, and T loops). RNAcentral also lists the same sequence under 1 other name. Lineage: Eukaryota; Metazoa; Chordata; Mammalia; Rodentia; Sciuridae. The record is from Rfam by way of RNAcentral.